UGGUUUACAAAUGCAAUUUCGCCCUUUUGAAAUGUCGGCAUCGACUUCUUCUUUGAGUGAAAUUAUUCGCAAAUUUUCUCGAGAAUAUAAACUCAUCCCAGCACCACCACGAUGAUUGUGCAGGGGAAAAGUCCCUCUAUUCGAUAGACUUUGAAUAGCUAGAAAUUUGCGCAAGGAGCCAUUGUUGACGUUUGCGACAGAGGCCUUUAUGAAUGCUCAGUAUAGAAUUGGUCAUAUUUUAAAUUGCUGCUGUUUUCGGCGGUCAGCUAAUGAAAACAAAGAUGGCGACGAUUCGUAACGAGUGGCGGCAGCUGCUACUUUGAUGGUGGUGGCGUUGCGUGAGUGCAACUCUGCUCUGUGCUCGUUUGCAUUUCAUUAUUAUCGUGUUUACAAACCGUCUUUUUGAGUUAUUUUGCUCCGUGCAAAAAAGAAAAAUUAAAGCAUUUUUCGUUUGCUAUUUGCGAUGGAAAAUUACCAAGAUGAGAUAAGCCGACCGUCAACUGUGAACGGUUGUCAUUCACGUUUUUGUAGUUGCAAAAUCCGCAAAAAUUCGUGCACGAUAACACCGCAUGUGAAUGAUGUGUGUAUAGUGUGACGUGUAGUAUGUGAGCGGUCUCCGCUUUGAACCGGUUCUGAGUGGGAUGUGCGACGACGACGAUGUCACAUACGUAUACGACGUACGGAUGUGUGCGAGCGUGACGCGAAUCUAGUUAGCCUCGGUUGAAAAAUAAAACAUUACAUCUGUCUGACGUCAGGGAUGUUUGUUUCUAGUUAGAACGGGUGUAUUUUUCGCUACUAUAAGCGGGUGAGAGUAGUGCUGUGAGUGACGCCAAUUAUUGUUUUCAUCCGAUCGUUAUCGCGCUUGGAAGCGUGAGAACCUUUUGGAAUAUCCCAUUUAAUUGGGAAUGGACCUCGUGAAUCGCGCUACGUACAAGGCGAUUGCCACUUUUGCUUUCAUCAGACCGGAGCUAAUUAUCAUCGCGCUUCGUAGAAACGUGUAAAAUUACACCCGCUCAUUAAAGGCGCAGCCAUUUUGCAUCGCUCGCUCACUUACCGUCUUCGGCGGCCUGCUAUGCGAAACCAAGAAGGGAAAGAAUACGGCGAAAGGCACACGGUCGAUAAAUUGCGUCUUUAGAACACGCGAGAUGCGCAAUAGAAUCGAGGGAGAAACGGCCGAUGUGCGGAUAAUCGUCUUAGCCUGGAAUGACGUGACAGCGUGUGUAAUCUAAUCCCGCAAAGUCAGCUCAAUGUCAGUCCCCAUUCCCAGGGGUGCUGCCCCGUCCCUGUCUGUCGUCGUCGGUCAACCGCUACCACUCUGCUGACGCUCCCUGCCUUCAAAACAAAACACAUCAACUUGUAUAAUAUUCUUGAACCUGUGAUGACUUUCUUUAUUUUUUUUUAUUUUUUUAUUUUUGUAUAAAAAUAAUAUACUAAAAGUAGUCUUAUUUUUGUACUUCUUUGUAAAUAGAAACAAUUUUUUUUUUCGAAUUUAAGAAAAGAUAGAGAGCUUCAAUUGACCCAACUUUGGACGACACUACUUUACUCUGUAUACUCACUCACUUUGGCUGUUCUGUUUUUUUUAAGGUAACCGAAAUUUGACUCCCGGUGAUUUUGAUUGAGCUAUCUUUUCUUAGCAGAGUGUACAUUUAACGAUUGCAAAAAUAACUUAAUGACUGACUUUGUACCGGUUUCCGGUGUGAUUGGGUGCGUGGGACCCGAUUCGUUUAGUGACUCCGGGCAGGCUGAUGAUGAUGAUGAUGAUGAUGAUGAAUAGCGUGACAAUUGUUUCGUUUGUGAAUCAAAACAAAGCUCUAGCUAGUAAGGUUUUAUAAGUUUAUAUUAGGUAUGUAAAUGUUUUGCAAAACAAGAAAAUACAAACAAAACUGAGAACAGUGGAAAGACAUAAAAACGGAAAACACGCUGAGGAAAUGUUAUAAAAAUCGUUAAUUUACUAACGACUGCCAUUUUAAGCAUAGUGAACACUAUUUAGCCUGCCCCAAUCGACAAAAUAAAAAGGAAGGGAAAAUGGGUAAGACUUAUACAAAAAAAAAAAAAAACAAGUGAAAGCGUGAAUCUUUAAUGGAGAGAACGAAUUUUAAAACCUACCGUUUUACGUUUUUGUACAUAUAUCGACAUUUUUACGAGAUCGUAAAAUAUUUAUAACAAAACCACCACCACGACAACAACAUCAUCCACACUUGACGUUUGACACGGGAGCAGAAACUACUGCUGCUGUCAACCGUGCAAUGCCCUUAGCCGGCCCAUUUAUCGGAAAAUUUUCCAAAUUUCGACAACUGCAACUCAAUAAAUAAUAUUCAACUGUGAUUGUGAUCAAAACAGAAUGAUGCACAUUCGACGAGCGCACACGCACACAGUCCUUCCGUCCUGCGAAAAAAACGAAAAUAAUCGGAUGAACAAACUUCCACCGUUUCACCGCCGCCGCCGCCAUCCUCAAUGUGGCUCUGUGUUCGGGUUGAAGGGUUACGUCCUCGGUUGACGUACGCCAUUUUGUAUGGGUAUUUUUUUUCCAUUCCAAUUUUUGUCGCACACUCAGCAGCAGCAAGCGGACAUGUGUCAAUUGUUUGCAGACUUCUUCUUUUUUUUCUCUUUCUUCCUUGCAAAUCAUUUGCAAGUCACUUUUGCUUGCCCUAAACUCGUCGUAUCGUGUGCGUGCAUGUUGCAAGGCGAUGGGUGAAAAAGGGUGAUCUAAUUCACAAAAAAUGUUCGAUUUUAAUGUUUAAUUGUGUGCACACACACACACACACUCACACGCUGCCACCACCCCCCUUCUGAUCUGAUCGGUCGGCAGGCAGUGUUUAGAAAGCAAUCGAAGCGGUCGUCGGUCGUCAUGGCAACGUUGCAACAGUCACCGAUGCAGCGACCGCAGAUUGGCGAAAGUGGCAAACAUUUGACACAUCUUUCCUCUUCUUCGUGUUUCUGGUUUCCCCCCGUGCGUGCCCAGAGCGUUGUGUGUUCCAGCAGCACCAACCAGCAGUUUUUCCUUGUUUGGACAUGUUUGAACGUGUUUUUUUUUUUUUUCGUUCGCCGCUGACUUUUUCGCGAGUGAUUACGACUUUCGAGGUGGAGGAAAUUGGUGCAUCCAAAGUUUUAUUUUUUCGUAGGAAAGUGUAAAGUGUGUGCGCUCAUUUUUCGUUUGUUCAUUUCGAAGGGAAAUUUUCGGGGGGGAAAAUGCAACAGUUGAAGAAAACCUAGCGAAAGCGAGCUGAACUGUGAUUUUUUUUAUUGAGUUAAAUUUGCGUUAAGAAUUAUCAUUUGCGCUCCAUGAAAGGAGAAGUAAAUGGAACCCCUAGGGAAACUGGAUUUUCCGAACAUUCGUUGGGGAUUUUUUUUAAAGCCUUCGCUAGCGCGUAGGUGGAACAGAGGUGGACUGACUUUAGUGAAAAAAAAAAUCAAAUGCUAAAACAACCGAAGGGUGCAAACUAGAUCAUAGGAAUAGGAAAAAAGGGUAGAAGAAAGCAGGCUAAUAAAGGGGAGUAGAAGGAUUUUUUGGGUAAAAUUUGUCUUCUCUUAUAAAAGGGGCAGAUUCGAGGAGUGCGACGGCGUGAAUAUUUUCCGGUACCUGGGCAAAGUGCGUGAACGUGAUUUAGCUGCUAGUAGAUCUCCGCGCCUCUAAUGUGAUCCGAGCGGCGCGGAGGGGAAGAGAAAACGAGAAAACUAAAAUCGUGAUAUUUGAAAGUCAUACUUACUUAGUUUAAGGUCUCCUUCUGUGAAAUCCAAACGAAACAGAAACAGCUUAUAUGUAUACAAAACGUUUAUCUAUCGUAUUAUGUGGAAACAAGUCAAUCAUGUUUAUUUAACAAACGCCAACCACCACCACCACCAUACAUAAGAAGAAGAAUAGGAAGAGGAAAAAAAGUACUAGCGAUAGAUAAGUGAGACAAUGGAUGAACAUUUGUUACACGAAUGGCAACAGCAACAACCCUGAAAAGUCUGAGAAAGUUUAGUUAGUUUGUUUAAUUUUUUUUUAUCUUGAGAUAAGAACAAGCAGAGAGAGGUUACUUUAGGGAAUGGGAGAUCAAGAUUUGUUGUGAUUAAUAAAAUAACUGAAUAGUAGAAAAAUGAUGACCUACACGAACGCUUAAUGAAUAUAUUUGAAUGUGAUACUAUAUAUUUUUAUACAUUUGGAUACAAAUGUAAACAAACGGCUAAGAAACAGGAGAGACAUCAGUGCUAAAUUUCAAAACACAAAGGUAAAACGCAAACCCAACAAAAUCUGUACAAUAAAGUUAGCGAGAACUCAUAUAUAGAGAUUAUAUACAAAACAGACACACAAACAACAACAACAACAACAACAUACGCUACGGAAUCGUGAAACCUGGACUUUACACAAGAGCAAACACAAUAACAAGAAAAAAUCUAAGUAAACAAAACAACCAUUCGGCGAAAGAAAUGGAUACCAACCUACCUAUUGUGAUCGUUAAUAAGAAAACAAAAACAAAUGAAAGAAAGCAUAAGAAAAAAAUAGAGAUAUCAGCUACCUUUUUAUAAUAGCAAAGAGAAAAAUCUAUUUAUAAAAAAAUACUAUCACAUUCAUUGAUAUAUUUACCAGUAAUCAUUUUUUGAAUAAGAGAAAAAAACCAAAGCAAGACAUAAAAACAAAAAAAAAAAACAAUCGAAAACCGAAGCGGUGUCACAGUUUUAGAACUAGAAAUUUCUCAUUUGUUUUUACCUCCGUACGAAUGCGAAAUCCGUGUAAGACCAAAGUCGUGAUUUUGCAAGCUUCGAACUCCGUCAAUUCCCCCGCCCGGAAAGAUUGCAACGUCGUCCCCCGCCCCCUUAAUUGUGUACGACUGUUGUUUCGCCUUUGUUGAAAUGUAGACUUUAAUACCUUUCAUAAAGUCAGUACCACCAACACUGUUAAGUAGUACUACCCAAUUGCACCCACCCUCCAUUAUUGUUUCCAAGGACGAAGAUGGUUUAGAAUUGAAGUUUUUUGUGCGUACGUGCUAGUCAAGUUAGGUUUAUUUAUGAAAUUGAAUUUCUGCGAGCAGUUAUAGUUCCUAAAACGUGUGUGCAAAUCGUUCCGGGCUGCUUUCCACCAUCUACCAGAAGCACCUUUUGGCACAGAAAACGGUUGCGGGAACUUAAAUGUAACCUCUUUCAGUCGCAAUCAAGUUGCUGCAACUUAAUGUGACGACAGGGUGUUUCUUCGGUUUACCUACUUGAGUUCAUUAAAAAAAAAAAACGAGGUGAAAACAAAUGACGAAAUCAAACUACUUAAGGUAAAGAUCAAGAUCGUGUGAUUGUCGGUGAAAAUCUGUAAUGUUUGCUCGACUUUUUUUUUUUAGGGUUGAGAUAGGAAAAAGUCUAUUCACGAUCCAAACCGGGAGCCAAAAUGGAGCUGAAAAUGUCUGAAAAUAUUGUUUUAAAUAUUUUUCGAUUCCAGAGAGUUUUGCUUUUUUUUUGUAGUGUUUAGUACCAAUCAGAUUCGAUCCGAGCGGAAGAGGGAGUGUAUAAGCUUUUAUAAUAUUUAAAUACACACACACAAACAAACAGGAGAACACUGACGGUAGGGGUUGGUAAACGAAAUCAAAACUAUUCGAAAGGAAGACAGCAACAGCAGAAGAUUAAGGAAGGCAUAGCAAAACAUAAGACUUUAAGCAAAACGUACAAAUUACUUAGUAACUCGUUUUUAUAUAGAACAACAUAUAUAAGCAGAGAGGUACUGACCACAACCACACCAAGAGCAUCAAAUGAAGAAUAUUAUGAAAGUUUAAAGCAACCCGAUACCUACUCCCUUAAGAUUAAGGAAAGAAAACUCGUCGUUUGAUUUCAACGAGUCCGCGAUCGAAAGGUUAAGCCUGGUUCACACUUUUCUCCACCGUCGCCGCCUGAUGUCUUUCGCUCACGUUUUGCUUUUCUCGCUGAAAAGAAGAAAAAGAAGUGCUAAAACUGUAUCGCCACGGACCAGUGCCAGCAGUCCAGCAGUAGUAGGCAGCCUUAUAUGGGGUGUUGUGGUAGAGUAAAAUGCAAAAAAAAAAGCAACGUAAAACGAAGCAGGCUGCGUGGAGUGGAUAACCAGUUUGGUUGGUGCGCUGCCGCCGCCUGCUUCGUUCGUACGCUUCGAGAGGGCAAAGAAAUCGAGAAGAAGCCCUGAACAUAAAUAACAAAGAGCAAAACGAAACGAAAAUAAUAAAAAACUGGAUUGGCAACUUUUCGAUCAACUUUUACAUUAUACCUACCGUGCAGCCCCCUGCAGGCACUGCCGCUGCCGCUGGUUUGGGUGGUGGUGAGCGAAUGGUGAAACACAAAGAAGAAGCACAGGGCAAACGAGAGCGACACGGUCGACGACGGCGGUGGCGAUGAAGAAGGAGGUCAGCUCCAGGUUUUUCGGAUAGUUUGAUCAGGAUACUAUUUUAAUAACAAUCGAGAUGAAAGAAGAUUAAUAGACACGCUCUCACACGCACACACACGCACACGCACGCAGCAAGAACAACAACAACUUUUCUGAAAUUGUGUGUGUGUGUGUGAGUGUGUGAAUCCUGCGCUGGAGGAAUCAUCAUUCGAGCUUGUAGAAGACGUGUUUUGGAUUAGGAAUACUCUUUUUCCCGGGGGGAAAAAGAAGAAGGCUAGAAACAGCAGCAUUUGUUUUUUCUACAUUAGUUUUUAGGUAAUUUUCAGAUUUUUUGUGUGUUUACACAAAAGCGAAGAGAAGAGGAGCACACACUUAGUUCUCACUUUAGUCAUUGAGAUGGAACAGACGGAAGGCAAAUAAAAACGGUCAAAAUACAGACUCCGAAUGUACAAAUUUUAUUGCUAUUUUAAAACGAGAACAAAAUGAACUUUGAAAUGGAAUCAUGAUUCUCAUCAAAAUUAAGAAAACAUUAGAAAAAAAAGAAACACAAACAUACAUACAAACACACAUACACACAAAUACGCUGACAAGAAACUGAAUACUAAUUAAGAGAAACUAUGAAAAAAACUGUGAUUUAGUGGAGAGAACACGAAUAUUUAUAUUACAACUGAGCGAGAAAACAAACAUGAAAGCGAAAAAAAAAAAUCAUUGCUAUUGGUUUUUUUUUAAAAAGAGCAGAACUUAUUUUAUUAAGCAGCAACAAAUAAGUCAGAACAAGCAGACAAGCAGAGUAACUAAGAAAACAGCUAAACACAACAUUUACAAACUGUGAACACGUAACUUUUAAGGGAGAUGCUAAAUAAACGGCAAGCGUAAAUCGAAACAAACAAGAAAUACAAAUCACUGUGUAAAUAUUAUAAUCGAGGCAAAAAUGUUAUAUAUGUAUAGAGAUCUAGAAACAAAUGCAAGCCUCUCCCUCCAGCAGCGCCGUGAACAACCACCCUGGAAGGGCACCAUUUUGAACUGUGCAACUCUCUUCCUGCUCUGUGUUUGUGAGUUUUGCUUUCGAUUUUGCUUUCGCCACACGUGUGUGAACGAACGUAUGCGCCCGUGUUCGAGGAUGUGUGCGUGUGUUCACGUUUUCGCUGAACCCGCCACCGACGAGUUCGAUCGAGUGUUAGUUUUUUCUUCCCUUAGUUGUAGUAGUCUGUAGAGUGUAACUUUUAACCCGUGCGGUUGCGAGAGAGAGAGAGAGAGUUUGGUUAACUAGCUUUUAAUGGCCAGCAAAACAGAAAAAAAAUAUGUAUGGAUUUGCACAGUUCAAUAUUGAGGUCCCCUUCCCUCCCUGAGGGGGCGCAUCAGGGCCGGAGAGGCAAGGACGUGAACGGUGAAGUUAACGGAAAAUUCGAUGAAAAUGCAGUAUUUUUUUGUAACUAAAAACAAGCAAAGAGAAAAUGAAAAAAAUGAACUGAAAAUUGUACAAAAAGAGAAUUUUUUUAUAAGAAAACAGCACGAGGAGAAUGAAAAAAAAAACGUUAUGAAAAAAAAAAACAAUUGUUGAAGCAUUUAUAUACGUAAUGUAAAUUUAUAGAAACGAUCGUUUUUAUUAUUUAAUAACGAAACACAUGAAUGGUGACAUACGAUCAGACAGAAUGGAAAGCACUGCGGCGAAAGUCGCUCUACCAUGCGAUCUUUAUGUCAAAUAAAUGCAUCAAAAUUCGACAAAAAUCAUUCGAAAACAAAAACCAAGCGAAGGAAAAUCCAAGAAGAAAAACUCUGUGUAUAUGUAUAAUGUAAAUUAUUUCGGAUAAAGUUCAUGCGUAGAUUGUUUCAUUAUUAUUUCUUAUUUAUUUUCUUAAUUUCGAUGAUACCAAAUUGCUAAUGCAUGAAGAGGAAAAAAAACACAAUAAUUGUAAUGCAAAUGACUCCUCAUGGCUGUGGCCGCCAUCGCCGCCGCCAUAUUGAAGAUGUUUGCUCGCUCGCUAAUGCAUACUCAAAAUCCGUACUCGAUUUAUUUACCAUUCACACGCGUGUGCAAGCCUCUCGCUGUCCCACUCUGCCGUCCCUCACAUCCGCUGCGAGAGUGUCGAACGGAUGAACGGGGAAGGGUGGUGGAGCGAGAGGAAGCGCCCGUGCAGUAGCCGAGGGAGGAAACACUUUUGCAAAAAAAAGAAACAAUGCAAAAUUAUCCACAUGCAUUAAUUAACCGAAAAGAGAGGCAUCCAGGCAUCGUCUUGAUAUGUAGUGAAACAAAAGAAGGGAAAAUAUAAAAAUAAACAAUUGAAGAAAUUUUAAUACCCGAUGCCCUAUUGUCUUAGAUGUGUCCUACUAUUUCUAUCGAGCGAAGCGAAGCUAAGAAAAUUUAUUGGAAGUAAUAAAACUGUCAAUACACUCUUUUUUCGAAAGCGAGCAUAAACAAGAAAAAAAACAAAAAUCCGUAAAUUCACUUUCACAAUAGAAGCAAAUGAUGAUGAUGAUAAAAAAGAAGAAGCACCCUUACCUAAUGCAUGUAACUAUAGAGGGAUAAACAGUAACACAUUUUUGCAGCGGAAAACAAAAGAAAUGAAAGGAGAAAAUCAUUGAAAUUCAGCAGUUUACAAACCAAUCUUAAAAUUUACACGUUCCCGCAUGUUAUAGUAGAGCGUAUCAUGUAAAUGUACAUUUGAAACAGAAACGCGUAUAUUCCGAAAUCAAUUCAAUAUUAUCUAUCCCGGUAAACCAGUACAUUUGAAUCCAAUUUUAAUGAAGGUAAUUAAACAAAAAAAAAAAACGCCACUUUGGUGCAGAGAAAAUAUAACACUGUAAAUACAAAAACCAUCAUUGAGAGUAAAAAUCAACAAUAACCCCCUUAAACCGACGAGCAAGCACACUCAUACAUACAUACACAUAUUUUAGUAGUGGUUACACAACUCGUAGAGAACGUGUCUUCUUUGCUUUUCUAGAACUUUUGCCCCUUCCCCUUUCUCCCUUCCCCCCUUCCCCCUCACCAAAACGAAAUUCGAACCAUCGAAAGGCUAAUUGAACUUUUCCUUUUUCGAAAUUUCUCGAUCAUUUGUUUGUUCACACACACACACACAUACACCCACAAACAACACGGUGACACGGUGGUCGAGAAAGCGGUUAAAAAGCGUAAAAGUAUCAUCCCUAAUUAGUUCACGACAUACAAUACUUCCCCAUCACCCGACGUCACCCGGUUUUAUGAAAGUAGAAAUACCCCCUAUUCAGUGGAACAUCAUCAUGUAUUAUUCGUGUAUUCUGUCGAAUGGAGAAAAUCUUUCUCCGAAAAGAAGAGAAUCCCUUUCGCGCACCCGCCAGUGGACAAUUUACUCUGUGUAGAAGAACAACAAGCCCACGUAUACGCGAACGCCGCGAGCGGACAAUGCAUAACUAUAACAAAACAAUGGUCAAACUUUAUUCUGUAGAUGUAUUUGUAAAAAAAGCAAAUGAAAUCAGUUCGAAUAACACCCUCACACAAACAUUUACAGUUGCAGUGUGACAAAACACUUGAGAAACGAUGAUUCAACUACGAUAGGAAAACACACACAGAGAGAGGGAGAGAGAGAGAUCAUGAUGUUAGAUUUUGUCCUGGAACUUUUUGAGUUUUUGGGUUUCGUCGAAUCCUGUUCUUUUUCUUCUUCUUCUUUUUCGCGGUUGUAGUUCGACACCAGAACCAGAACCCGGACAAACGGAUACAAACAAAAACGCGUACGACCGUGUGCCGUACGCGUUUGUACGAACAAUCGAAAGCUGACAGAGCAUAUUUCGUUGUUUUUUCGUCUUUUAUUUAAUUUCAAAUUAAAAAAGAUUUUCAUUUGUGAGGAAAAAACAAACAAUACCUUCUGUGUCGUUCUUACUUUUUUCUUUUAUAUCAUGAAACACAGCGAGAACAAAAUAUGAAAAGAAGAAAGAGGUAAACAACAAAACAAAAAUACACCUAAAUUAUAAGAUUUGCAAACAACAAGUGAAAGUAGAUUUUUUAAUUUUUCUUUUUUUUUUACUAGGCUUAGUUUUUAAUGGUAAUACAAUGAUUACAAUGAGAAUAAAAAAACACUUCAAACUACAUACUGAAUAUACUAUAUAUAAAUAUAUGAAUAUAUAAAUGAUAUAAAAUUAAAAUUACUUGUACAGAGAUUAUUGAUAAAUGAAAAAGAUGAAAAAACAUUUGAAAAUAAUUAAAAGUAUAUAUAUUGAUAGUAAUAAAACAGCAAACAUUUGAUGAAAAAAUUAAAA
Molecule: long non-coding RNA, 10546 nt
Organism: Ochlerotatus camptorhynchus
Lineage: Eukaryota; Metazoa; Arthropoda; Insecta; Diptera; Culicidae
Exons: 2
Source: RefSeq, a predicted model, not a curated record